UAAGGAAUAUUGGUCAAUGGACGAAAGUCUGAACCAGCCAUGCCGCGUGAAGGAUGAAGGCCCUCUGGGUUGUAAACUUCUUUUAUCUGGGACGAAAAAAGCUCAUUCUUGAGCACUUGACGGUACCAGAGGAAUAAGCACCGGCUAACUCCGUG
This 155-nucleotide ribosomal RNA is filed under the name uncultured bacterium. RNAcentral's name for it is "partial 16S rRNA". It matches the Rfam family "Bacterial small subunit ribosomal RNA", at positions 355 to 507 of the family's 1533-position model. The record is from RNAcentral.